AGUGAACGCUGGCGGUAGGCCUAACACAUGCAAGUCGAACGGCAGCACAGUAAGAGCUUGCUCUUACGGGUGUCGAGUGGCGGACGGGUGAGUAAUACAUCGGAAUCUACUUUUUCGUGGGGGAUAACGUAGGGAAACUUACGCUAAUACCGCAUACGACCUACGGGUGAAAGCAGGGGAUCUUCGGACCUUGCGCGAUUGAAUGAGCCGAUGUCGGAUUAGCUAGUUGGCGGGGUAAAGGCCCACCAAGGCGACGAUCCGUAGCUGGUCUGAGAGGAUGAUCAGACACACUGGAACUGAGACACGGUCCAGACUCCUACGGGGGGCAGCAGUGGGGAAUAUUGGACAAUGGGCGCAAGCCUGAUCCAGCCAUACCGCGUGGGUGAAGAAGGCCUUCGGGUUGUAAAGCCCUUUUGUUGGGAAAGAAAAGCAGCAGGUUAAUACCCCGCUGUUCUGACGGUACCCAAAGAAUAAGCACCGGCUAACUUCGUG
Molecule: ribosomal RNA, 492 nt
Filed under: uncultured bacterium
Lineage: Bacteria
Description: partial 16S ribosomal RNA
Rfam family: Bacterial small subunit ribosomal RNA
Source: RNAcentral